CGUAAGAAAACGGAACGGAGUUUUAAACUUAUUAAAGUCAUCAUCGUCCACAGCAUCGAGAGUUCUCUCAGAACCUUACCGGACCGGAAUAAAGUGGGAAAUAGGGUUUAACAGAUUCGUGUCUCUUCUCAUCCGGUGAUGUCGAAGCGUGCUGACAAAGGGAGAUCGUGGCAUGGAUCUCGAAUCAAUCAAUUCGGAGUUGUAUUCUUCGUUGUUGGGAUCUCACUGGUCGCGGUUCUGUUGUUUUGUUUCAGUGGCAAGAAGAAUCAGAGCUCGGAGCUGGAACUGGAACUACCGAGACAUAUUUCGAACAAUGUCAAUCCCGAUUUUGAAUCUCAUCCAACCCUAGAGAUUCAAAACGGGACUCAACUGAUAUGGAAGAUACCAAAAUCGCCAAAGGCAGUUCUGUUUAUCGCUCAUGGUUGCCAUAGGAAAGCUUCUGACUUUUGGGACAAAUCUUCAGAUUGCCCUGAAUGUACUGGUCUACCAGAGGAGAGGUUUCUUGUCCGGUUUGCUUUAGCUAAGAAGUUCUCUGUUUUGACUGUGUCUAGUGCUGGGAAAUGCUGGACCUUGGGGAAGGAAAAAACCAUUGUUGAAAACAUCAUUAAAUCGUGGGUGGAUAAGCACAAGCUUCAAAGGCUUCCUCUUGUCGCGUUAGGGGCUUCAUCUGGUGGCUACUUUGUCUCUGCUCUUGCUACACAUUUGCGGUUUAGUAGUAUCGUGCUUAUGAUUGCGGAAGGAGUCUUUGAUCAGAUUAGUAUCAGUAAACACUAUCCUCCGACUCUUUUUGUGCACAUGCCUAAAGAUGUCUACAGACAACAAAAGAUUAGGGAAUUUUUAGAAGGUCUCAGAAUGGAAGGCGUUGAUGCUGCAGAGAUUGAAUGCUUGGAUUUGCCGCUUUCUCCUGAUUUCUUGGCAGGUAGGAUUCCUGGUCUUGGUUCAGAUGUAUCUGCCAAACUGUGUAAGUUAUUUCAAGACAAGGGAUUUGUUGAUGAGAAGGGAUACAUGAAACGUGAUGGACGGAGAACACCGUGGAAACAAGCUCUCAGCGGCAACAAGAUAUCACUGGAACAAAGUUUGAUUACUCCUGUUGAUGAAGAACUGAAUCUUGCAUAUGCAUACCAUGAGAUGACGAGCUUGCAGUCUGACCAAAUCUUUAACUGGUUUGAAUCGCAUAUGAGCUGAUUGGCUGACAGAUUUUCAUACAUAUAUCAAGUUCAUUCUUUGAAAGCUCUAGGCAGCAAUAAGAUAUCUGAUUCCAAAGGAAAAUGCUUAAACGGUGGAUUAUGAUUCGAGUCUGGCAAGAUCAGAUCAAGGUCACUCUAGGGGCUGCGAUUAGGGUUAAGAAGACUGUCUUGGUUAGCGUAACUAAACUAAACUCUCCGCUUAAAUUCAGCAGGGUUGCGUAAAGCCAGCUGCUUUUUUUGAUUCUCGUUUGCCUUUCCAAGUUUGAUCACCGACUUUACAAAAGACUCGUGGACCUCAGGAGUCCAUCUCAAUCUCAGCUUGUGAUUGGCUGCUGAUCCCGGAGAAGGGUGAGAUGAAACAACGUCAAUAGGCACUGCUCCAGCAACACAGCUUUGGCAUGGACUCAACCUGGUGACUGGAUUUGACGAAGCCAAUAGCAUUUCACAUAUCUUCUGUAUCAACCAGAAACCAAGUGUUAAAAGGAGCAAUAGACUUUUCACACUCUAUAUCAACACUUCAACAGAAUGUAGAAGCCAGUAUUUAUCAACACUUACCACUAGUUUUACGAGCCUGCUGCUUUCAAUUUCACUCUCUCCAAUGCCUUUGUCGAGUCUGCUGCUGUUUGUAAGCUGAUAAUGUCCAUAAUUAAAAUCACAAGUGUUUUCCAUUGUGUU
Camelina sativa (false flax) is the source of this 1862-nucleotide RNA transcript. RefSeq lists it as uncharacterized. NCBI's taxonomy places the organism in Eukaryota, Viridiplantae, Streptophyta, Magnoliopsida, Brassicales, Brassicaceae. The record is from RefSeq and is a predicted model, not a curated record.